CAGUCGCCACGGUAAUACAGAGGGUGCAAGCGUUAAUCGGAAUUACUGGGCGUAAAGCGCGCGUAGGUGGUUUGUUAAGUUGGAUGUGAAAGCCCCGGGCUCAACCUGGGAACUGCAUCCAAAACUGGCAAGCUAGAGUACGGUAGAGGGUGGUGGAAUUUCCUGUGUAGCGGUGAAAUGCGUAGAUAUAGGAAGGAACACCAGUGGCGAAGGCGACCACCUGGACUGAUACUGACACUGAGGUGCGAAAGCGUGGGGAGCAAACAGGAUUAGAUACCCCAGUAGUCCCUGUCUCUUAUAC
This 301-nucleotide ribosomal RNA is filed under the name uncultured bacterium. RNAcentral's name for it is "partial 16S ribosomal RNA". It matches the Rfam family "Bacterial small subunit ribosomal RNA", at positions 509 to 807 of the family's 1533-position model. The record is from RNAcentral.